Molecule: ribosomal RNA, 488 nt
Filed under: uncultured bacterium
Lineage: Bacteria
Description: partial 16S ribosomal RNA
Rfam family: Bacterial small subunit ribosomal RNA
Source: RNAcentral
GACGAACGCUGGCGGCGUGCUUAACACAUGCAAGUCGAACGGAAAGGCCCCCACCUUGGUGGGGGUGCUCGAGUGGCGAACGGGUGAGUAACACGUGGGUGAUCUGCCCUGUACUUCGGGAUAAGCUUGGGAAACUGGGUCUAAUACCGGAUAGGACCAUGGUUUAGUGUCUCAUGGUGGAAAAAUAUUGUUUUGGUGCAGGAUGAGCUCGCGGCCUAUCAGCUUGUUGGUGGGGUAAUGGCCUACCAAGGCGUCGACGGGUAGCCGGCCUGAGAGGGUGGACGGCCACAUUGGGACUGAGAUACGGCCCAGACUCCUACGGGAGGCAGCAGUGGGGAAUAUUACACAAUGGGCGCAAGCCUGAUGCAGCGACGCCGCGUGGGGGAUGACGGCCUUCGGGUUGUAAACUCCUUUCGUUAGGGACGAAGCCACACCUUUUUUGGGUGUGGUGACGGUACCUUUGUUAAGAAGCACCGGCUAACUACGUG